This 440-nucleotide ribosomal RNA is filed under the name uncultured bacterium. Its description in RNAcentral is "partial 16S ribosomal RNA". It matches the Rfam family "Bacterial small subunit ribosomal RNA", at positions 338 to 795 of the family's 1533-position model. The record is from RNAcentral.
CCUACGGGUGGCAGCAGUGGGGAAUAUUGCACAAUGGGGGAAACCCUGAUGCAGCGACGCCGCGUGAGUGAAGAAGUAUCUCGGUACGUAAAGCUCUAUCAGCAGGAAAGAAAAUGACGGUACCUGACUAAGAAGCCCCGGCUAACUACGUGCCAGCAGCCGCGGUAAUACGUAGGGGGCAAGCGUUAUCCGGAUUUACUGGGUGUAAAGGGAGCGUAGACGGCGCUGCAAGUCCGGAGUGAAAGCCCAUGGCUUAACCAUGGUACUGCUCUGGAAACUGUAGAGCUUGAGUGCAGGAGAGGUAAGUGGAAUUCCUAGUGUAGCGGUGAAAGGCGUAGAUAUUAGGAGGAACACCAGUGGCGAAGGCGGCUUACUGGACUGUAACUGACGUUGAGGCUCGAAAGCGUGGGGAGCAAACAGGAUUAGAUACCCGUGUAGUC